This 906-nucleotide long non-coding RNA is filed under the name Prunus dulcis (almond). RNAcentral's name for it is "sRNA ncRNA". Lineage: Eukaryota; Viridiplantae; Streptophyta; Magnoliopsida; Rosales; Rosaceae. The record is from RNAcentral.
CCGAGUAUUUGUUAAUUAGUUAUUAUAUUUGAAAAAUGAAGAUUGAAAUUACACGCAAAUGCUACUUGUCGUAUCGAUAUUCUUCUGGAGAUUCCUCCCUCGUCCCUCCCCUGUUUAAAUUUGAAGCAGACUAGUAGAUUUGCCUAGAGGCUUCCCCUUCCCUUAGCUUACAAGGAUUUGGCUUCAUCUAGAAGAAUAUUGAAGGCUCUUAUUCUUCUCUUUUAGCUGUUGACUAGUUCGGUUUUAGAAAUAAAAGUCAAAAGGCGUUCGCCAUUCAUGAAUCAUGAUAAUGUGCCAGAUCCCGCCACACCCAGAGGAGAGGAACUGAAAUGAAUAAUAAUAUAAUAUAGGCUAUAGCCCCCUAGAAGAAAGUGGCCAAGUUGCUCACUUGCAAUUUGCAGUUAUAACAUGAAACAAACAAUCAUUCCAAGCCCAGCUGCCUAACACACACAUGCCAAAUGUUAUAUUACACAUGGUCUGGGUAAACGCUUCACGCCAUUGCAUUUUAUGGCCGUGGUCGUGGCAGUUUAGGUGGCUUUUUUUAAACCAUAACAGGUGGCAUCCAUAUCUGUUCCACACGCGAACACCACCAAAACUAUCUUGUUUCUUAUCCGAUCCACCACACUUCCUUCCUCGCUAAACAAAAACAUCGGCCCCCAUUCCCCUCUCCCUCUCCUUGACGACUUUGAUCUCAUCCAUCCUUAUCACUCGCCACCUUCCCACUUCAUUAUUAUUAUUAAUUACAAAUUUUACAUAAAUUCAAAAAAGAAAUUAGGAAAAUUAGCCGACAUGCAUUUACGCGUGAAUCACAUGGACGGUAGCUGAAUAGUGAGCACUAUCAUUUAGCUCACUAUACUAGUGUAGUAGGUGUGUAAUAUUUUUACAGUUAAAAACCGUCACAUAAAC